Molecule: small RNA, 359 nt
Filed under: Ceratocystis platani
Lineage: Eukaryota; Fungi; Ascomycota; Sordariomycetes; Microascales; Ceratocystidaceae
Description: A. fumigatus sRNA Afu_309
Rfam family: A. fumigatus sRNA Afu_309
Source: Rfam by way of RNAcentral
UUUCCUUUGUAACUCACGGAAUUGUGCCCUGCGAUCCUCUGGCUAAUGGCUUGCGACGAGUUUUUCUCGUGUUUUGUCACUUGGUUUCAGGGUCGAACGCAGACGGCAGUUUGAUCUUUCUAUAGAGCCACGCGUUUUUAGUAGUGUUAUCUGAUCAACAGUUCCUAGAUCAAGUCAGCUGGUUCGGCCAUACUGAAGUUUUUCGUUUGUACUCUGCACGUGCUCGCUUUUCACAGGGGCUGAGCUGUGUAGGGGAGAGGACUUGAGGAGACCAACCAUACUGCAGCCUCUAUAUUCCACCCCUUUUUUCUGAGGUCAUUGACCUGUGAAGUUGAGGAUACCCAUAGUUGGCUACAUUC